RNAcentral lists this ribosomal RNA (424 nucleotides) under uncultured prokaryote. RNAcentral's name for it is "bacterial SSU rRNA". It matches the Rfam family "Bacterial small subunit ribosomal RNA", at positions 355 to 796 of the family's 1533-position model. The record is from RNAcentral.
UGGGGAAUCUUGGACAAUGGGCGAAAGCCUGAUCCAGCCAUGCCGCGUGAGUGAAGAAGGCCCUAGGGUUGUAAAGCUCUUUCAGCGGGGAAGAUAAUGACGGUACCCGCAGAAGAAGCCCCGGCUAACUUCGAGCCAGCAGCCGCGGUAAUACGGAGGGGGCAAGCGUUGUUCGGAAUUACUGGGCGUAAAGGGCGCGUAGGCGGCAUAUCAAGUCAGAGGUGAAAGCCCCGGGCUCAACCUGGGAAUUGCCUUUGAAACCGAUGAGCUAGAGUCCGGAAGAGGAUAGCGGAAUUCCCAGUGUAGAGGUGAAAUUCGUAGAUAUUGGGAAGAACACCAGUGGCGAAGGCGGCUAUCUGGUCCGGUACUGACGCUGAGGCGCGAAAGCGUGGGGAGCAAACAGGAUUAGAUACCCCCGUAGUCC